UCCCUUGUGGCUCAAUUGGUAAAGAAUCUGCCUGCAAUGUAGGAGACCUAGGUUUGAUCCCUGGGUGGGGAG
This 72-nucleotide transfer RNA is filed under the name Bos taurus (domestic cattle). It matches the Rfam family "tRNA". Rfam says of the family: Transfer RNA (tRNA) molecules are approximately 80 nucleotides in length. Their secondary structure includes four short double-helical elements and three loops (D, anti-codon, and T loops). Further hydrogen bonds mediate the characteristic L-shaped molecular structure. tRNAs have two regions of fundamental functional importance: the anti-codon, which is responsible for specific mRNA codon recognition, and the 3' end, to which the tRNAs corresponding amino acid is attached (by aminoacyl-tRNA synthetases). tRNAs cope with the degeneracy of the genetic code in two manners: having more than one tRNA (with a specific anti-codon) for a particular amino acid; and 'wobble' base-pairing, i.e. permitting non-standard base-pairing at the 3rd anti-codon position. The record is from Rfam by way of RNAcentral. Lineage: Eukaryota; Metazoa; Chordata; Mammalia; Artiodactyla; Bovidae. RNAcentral also lists the same sequence under 5 other names.